This 301-nucleotide unclassified non-coding RNA is filed under the name uncultured Conocybe. Its description in RNAcentral is "sequence contains ITS2". The stretch from base 1 to 52 matches the Rfam family "5.8S ribosomal RNA", at positions 103 to 154 of the family's 154-position model. Lineage: Eukaryota; Fungi; Basidiomycota; Agaricomycetes; Agaricales; Bolbitiaceae. The record is from RNAcentral.
AACGCACCUUGCGCUCCUUGGUAUUCCGAGGAGCAUGCCUGUUUGAGUGUCAUUAAAUUCUCAAUCUCAACAUUCUUGUAAUGUUUGCAGAUUGGAUGUGGGGGGGUUAUUUGUGGGGUCUUUUACAAGUUCCACUCCCCUGAAAUGUAUUAGCUGGAAUGCCUUUGCAAACCAACUAUCAGUAUGAUAAUUAUCUAUGCUGGAGUUGAUGUGAUAGGGAAUCUGCUUCUCAAUCGUCUUUCACAAGACAACUUUGAACCAUUUUGACCUCAAAUCAGGUAGGACUACCCGCUGAACUUAA